RNAcentral lists this small RNA (201 nucleotides) under Vigna angularis var. angularis. Its description in RNAcentral is "Non-protein coding transcript". The record is from RNAcentral. Lineage: Eukaryota; Viridiplantae; Streptophyta; Magnoliopsida; Fabales; Fabaceae.
UUGAGGCAGCAUAUACUCCCCAAGCUGUUCAAGCCUCAACAUCUUAGGGAACUGGAUGCAGCUGAAUACGAAGAAAUAAUUGCUGCUCCAGGACAAGCUUUCAAUAGGUCUUUCAGGGAGGUAGAAUCACCCAGAGUUGGAUCAGUGGAAAUAGAGGAUGCUGAAAUAUUAGAUGAGUUAACUACAAAUAGAGGGGAGUGG